This is a small nucleolar RNA of Cricetulus griseus (Chinese hamster), 125 nucleotides long. Lineage: Eukaryota; Metazoa; Chordata; Mammalia; Rodentia; Cricetidae. The record is from Ensembl.
AAGCAAUGUUCUAUGGCAAAUGAACAAAACUGCUGACCCCAAUUUGAACUUUCUAGAACAAGAAAGUCUAACUGAUACCAAUGUCCUUUUCCCAUGAGACAGGCCAAUCCAUAGGCUCAAACAGU